CUGUUUGCAUAGACUGUGUGAUUUAUUACAUUUGACACUCAGUCUUUCUAAACGAUG
Oreochromis aureus is the source of this 57-nucleotide microRNA precursor. The record is from Ensembl. Lineage: Eukaryota; Metazoa; Chordata; Actinopteri; Cichliformes; Cichlidae.